This 330-nucleotide ribosomal RNA is filed under the name Triticum aestivum (bread wheat). RNAcentral's name for it is "partial small subunit ribosomal RNA". The record is from RNAcentral. Lineage: Eukaryota; Viridiplantae; Streptophyta; Magnoliopsida; Poales; Poaceae.
AUGAAUGAGGACAAGGACAAGGACGAUGAGGAAUAUGAGGAGAAAAAUCUGUUUAUAGUCCCGCCACAAGUGAGUGCUGAUAUGUUGGAUGAUGAUACAUCAGAAGGGUAUAAGGAAUCAGCUGAUGAACUAGAAGGUGACACUAUGUCCGAGGAAUCACUCGUGCAUGUUGACUCUAGUGAGGAGGAGGCAAGAGAAAGGAAAAAGAACAAGAACAAGAGGCCAAGAGCCAAUGCUCCUGUUAGGAUGUCAUCUGAUAUUUCGGCCCAUUUUCACAUGGUCAAAGAGCCAGGAGCAUCCCGGAGAGAUGGUGCUGAAGGCCGCUUGUAA